AUCUGAAUGAUUCUAGUUUUGAUGUUUUGGGGUGGUGGAAAUUUCAUGGACCAAUGUAUCCAAUUGUAGCAGUGAUAGCUCGUGAUAUAUUAGCAAUUCCUGCGUCAUCGGUGGCUUCUGAAUCUGUUUUCAGCACCAGUGGUAGAGUUGUAGAUAAAUUUCGUUCUUCAAUGCUUCCAGAAAAAAUUGAAGCUCUGAUAUGCACACAAGAUUGGAUAAGAAGUGCGCUGAAGAAUGAGGGAUAUGGGUUAGGUAGUACUUCACUUCAGACUCUUUUGGAGGCAAUGGAGGAGCUCGAGUCAGACGAUGAUGAUGCAACAUCGCACAUUGUCUAACUGACUGACUAUCAAUUUAAGGAACAAUUGGAAAUAUGAUGGUUGGAACUUCUUUUUGGUAUAUAUAUAUUAUAUAGGCAUAGCCAAAGAACAUGCGAAGUGCGCGAACUACAUCCUUCUUUUUUGUAUAUGUACUUGUGAAGGAAAAACGCAUUUAUCUU
Papaver somniferum (opium poppy) is the source of this 496-nucleotide long non-coding RNA. RefSeq lists it as uncharacterized. The transcript has 3 exons. Lineage: Eukaryota; Viridiplantae; Streptophyta; Magnoliopsida; Ranunculales; Papaveraceae. The record is from RefSeq and is a predicted model, not a curated record.